Molecule: ribosomal RNA, 207 nt
Filed under: uncultured bacterium
Lineage: Bacteria
Description: partial 16S ribosomal RNA
Rfam family: Bacterial small subunit ribosomal RNA
Source: RNAcentral
UGCGUAGGUGGUAGCGUGUGUCGGAUGUGAAAUCUUACUGUUCAUCGGUAAAACUGCAUUCGAAACUACGCUUCUAGAGUAUGGGAGAGGAAAGCGGAAUUCUUGGUGUAGCGGUGAAAUGCGUUGAUAUCAAGAAGAACGCCGGAGGCGAAGGCGGCUUUCUGGACCAAAACUGACGCUGAGGCACGAAAGCCAAGGGAGCAAACA